AGAGUUUGAUCCUGGCUCAGAUUGAACGCUGGCGGCAUGCUUUACACAUGCAAGUCGAACGGCAGCGCGGGGCAACCUGGCGGCGAGUGGCGAACGGGUGAGUAAUAUAUCGGAACGUACCCAAGAGUGGGGGAUAACGUAGCGAAAGUUACGCUAAUACCGCAUACGAUCCAAGGAUGAAAGUGGGGGAUUCGCAAGAACCUCAUGCUCCUGGAGCGGCCGAUAUCUGAUUAGCUAGUUGGUAGGGUAAAGGCCUACCAAGGCUACGAUCAGUAGCUGGUCUGAGAGGACGACCAGCCACACUGGAACUGAGACACGGUCCAGACUCCUACGGGAGGCAGCAGUGGGGAAUUUUGGACAAUGGGCGCAAGCCUGAUCCAGCAAUGCCGCGUGAGUGUAGAAGGCCUUCGGGUUGUAAAGCUCUUUUGUCAGGGAAGAAACGGUGGGGGCUAAUAUCCUUCACUAAUGACGGUACCUGAAGAAUAAGCACCGGCUAACUACGUGCUAGCAGCCGCGGUAAUACGUAGGGUGCAAGCGUUAAUCGGAAUUACUGGGCGUAAAGCGUGCGCAGGCGGUUUUGUAAGUCUGUCGUGAAAGCCCCGGGCUCAACCUGGGAAUUGCGAUGGAGACUGCAAGGCUUGAAUCUGGCAGAGGGGGGUAGAAUUCCACGUGUAGCAGUGAAAUGCGUAGAGAUGUGGAGGAACACCGAUGGCGAAGGCAGCCCCCUGGGUCAAGAUUGACGCUCAUGCACGAAAGCGUGGGGAGCAAACAGGAUUAGAUACCCUGGUAGUCCACGCCCUAAACGAUGUCUACUAGUUGUCGGGUUUUAAUUAACUUGGUAACGCAGCUAACGCGUGAAGUAGACCGCCUGGGGAGUACGGUCGCAAGAUUAAAACUCAAAUGAAUUGACGG
RNAcentral lists this ribosomal RNA (912 nucleotides) under uncultured bacterium. RNAcentral describes it as "bacterial SSU rRNA". It matches the Rfam family "Bacterial small subunit ribosomal RNA", at positions 8 to 916 of the family's 1533-position model. The record is from RNAcentral.